Molecule: long non-coding RNA, 424 nt
Organism: Arvicanthis niloticus (Nile rat)
Lineage: Eukaryota; Metazoa; Chordata; Mammalia; Rodentia; Muridae
Source: RefSeq, a predicted model, not a curated record
CUGGCUCCGGUACUUGCUAACUCCCGUACUUGUUUCCUAAGUGUAUUUCUUGAGUAGAAGAGUUGUGUUAAGAUUGUAAUCUUUAACCGCACAAGACUAUCUUCGUGCGAAAGCAAGUACUCCAACAGAGAUGCCUAAUGUGGCGGAAUAAACUGUCCAAACAGAUCUGGACGUGCGAAGAUGCUGCCAGAAUCUAUGGAUACAUUUCCUGGUGCGCUGGAUUUCCUUAUAUCCUCUCCAGAGCCCACCUCCUCACCAUAUGGCUAAUCGCCAUGCCAUCUUAAGUGACAGGGCUUUUCUUCUUUCCUCUCCUCGUCCUCCAGGCAGCUGCAGAGACUCACAGAUUACCUGUCUUGGGGUUUUUCUUCUCUAAACUCUAAUAAAAAUCAUCCUCUUCGAAUAAACUUUGGUAUUGUAUGGCUUU